This 254-nucleotide ribosomal RNA is filed under the name uncultured bacterium. RNAcentral describes it as "partial 16S ribosomal RNA". It matches the Rfam family "Bacterial small subunit ribosomal RNA", at positions 524 to 776 of the family's 1533-position model. The record is from RNAcentral.
GACAGAGGAUGCAAGCGUUAUCCGGAAUGAUUGGGCGUAAAGCGUCUGUAGGUGGCUUUUUAAGUCCGCCGUCAAAUCCCAGGGCUCAACCUUGGACAGGCAGUGGAGAACUCGGGGACUCGAGUACGGUAGGGGUAGAGGGAAUUUCCGGUGGAGCGGUGAAAUGCGUAGAGAUCGGAAAGAACACCAACGGCGAAAGCACUCUGCUGGGCCGACACUGACACUGAGAGACGAAAGCUAGGGGAGCGAAUGGG